This 551-nucleotide ribosomal RNA is filed under the name Tolypocladium sp. HD-2014. Its description in RNAcentral is "eukaryotic LSU rRNA". The stretch from base 192 to 345 matches the Rfam family "5.8S ribosomal RNA". Lineage: Eukaryota; Fungi; Ascomycota; Sordariomycetes; Hypocreales; Ophiocordycipitaceae. The record is from RNAcentral.
CCUAUGGUACGCGGAGGGACAUUACCGAGUUUUCACUCCCAAACCCCUGUGAACAUACCUCGACGUUGCUUCGGCGGGACCGCCCCGGUCGCCCCUCGCGGGCGGACCGGAACCAGGCGCCCGCCGGAGGACCACAAACUCUUGUUUCCUAAUAGUGGCAAUACUCUGAGUCUCACAAAAAAAUAAAUCAAAACUUUCAACAACGGAUCUCUUGGCUCUGGCAUCGAUGAAGAACGCAGCGAAAUGCGAUAAGUAAUGUGAAUUGCAGAAUUCAGUGAAUCAUCGAAUCUUUGAACGCACAUUGCGCCCGCCAGUAUUCUGGCGGGCAUGCCUGUUCGAGCGUCAUUUCAACCCUCAAGCCCCAGCGGCUUGGUGUUGGGGACCGGCCCCGCGCCGCCCCCGAAAUGCAGUGGCGACCUCGCCGCAGCCUCCCCUGCGUAGUAGCACAAACCUCGCACCGGAGCGCGGAGACGGUCACGCCGUUAAACGCCCAACUUUCUUAGAGUUGACCUCGGAUCAGGUAGGAAUACCCGCUGAACUUAAGCAUAUAA